RNAcentral lists this unclassified non-coding RNA (225 nucleotides) under Hevea brasiliensis (rubber tree). The record is from RNAcentral. Lineage: Eukaryota; Viridiplantae; Streptophyta; Magnoliopsida; Malpighiales; Euphorbiaceae.
AAUAUUGAAAAAGGAAUUAAAAAUAGAGAUGUGUAUGGAAAAGAAGAGAAAAGAAAUAGAAAUUUUAAAUUUUAAAUUGAAUUAUGACAUAAUCAUGAUGCAAGCAUGACACAAUUAAAAUUAAAAUUUUAAUUAUUCAAAUUUUGGGGAUAAUUAUCUUAUUAAAGGAGACAAAAUUUGUUAAAAAAAUAAAACAAAAAUAUCACCUUCUUCUCCCAAAACCAG